This 726-nucleotide ribosomal RNA is filed under the name uncultured Ascodesmis. RNAcentral describes it as "eukaryotic LSU rRNA". It matches the Rfam family "Eukaryotic large subunit ribosomal RNA", at positions 50 to 793 of the family's 3401-position model. Lineage: Eukaryota; Fungi; Ascomycota; Pezizomycetes; Pezizales; Ascodesmidaceae. The record is from RNAcentral.
GCGCAGGAAAAGAAACCAACAGGGAUUGCCUUAGUAACUGCGAGUGAAGCGGCAAAAGCUCAAAUUUGAAAUCUGGCGUCUUCGGCGUCCGAGUUGUAAUUUGGAGAGAUUUCUUCGGGGUGAACACCGGUCCAAGUUCCUUGGAACAGGACGUCACAGAGGGUGAGAAUCCCGUGUCUGACCGGUUGCUUCAUUCCAUGUGAAGAGUCUUCGACGAGUCGAGUUGUUUGGGAAUGCAGCUCAAAAUGGGUGGUAAAUUUCAUCUAAAGCUAAAUAUUGGCGAGAGACCGAUAGCGCACAAGUAGAGUGAUCGAAAGAUGAAAAGCACUUUGAAAAGAGAGUUAAAAAGUACGUGAAAUUGUUGAAAGGGAAGCGCUUGAGACCAGACUCAAUUUGUGGUGAACAUCAGUCCUUCUGGGCUGUGCACUUGCCACUUUUUGGGCCAGCAUCGGUUCUGACCGUGUGAUAAAGGUCCUGGGAAUGUAGCUCCUCUCGGGGAGUGUUAUAGCCCAGGGCGUAAUGACAUGAGUUGGGACCGAGGACCGCGCUUCGGCUAGGAUGCUGGCAUAAUGGUCUUCAGCGACCCGUCUUGAAACACGGACCAAGGAGUCUAACAUCUAUGCGAGUGUUCGGGUGGAAAACCCUUGCGCGUAAUGAAAGUGAACGGAGGUGGGAACCCCUCGGGGUGCACCAUCGACCGAUCCUGAUGUUCUCGGAUGGAUUUGA